RNAcentral lists this ribosomal RNA (253 nucleotides) under uncultured bacterium. Its description in RNAcentral is "partial 16S ribosomal RNA". It matches the Rfam family "Bacterial small subunit ribosomal RNA", at positions 524 to 776 of the family's 1533-position model. The record is from RNAcentral.
UACGAAGGGGGCUAGCGUUGCUCGGAAUCACUGGGCGUAAAGGGUGCGUAGGCGGUUCUUUAAGUCAGGGGUGAAAUCCUGGAGCUCAACUCCAGAACUGCCUUUGAUACUGAAGGUCUUGAGUUCGGGAGAGGUGAGUGGAACUGCGAGUGUAGAGGUGAAAUUCGUAGAUAUUCGCAAGAACACCAGUGGCGAAGGCGGCUCACUGGCCCGAUACUGACGCUGAGGCACGAAAGCGUGGGGAGCAAACAGG